GACGGGGGGGACAAGUGUUACUCAUCAUGAUUGGGCGUAAAGGGUGCGUAGGUGGUUUUUUAAGUUAGAAGUGAAAUCCAAGGGCUUAACCCUUGAAAGUCUUUUAAUACUAAUAAACUUUGAGUCUGAUAGAAGAUAGUGGUAUUUUUGGUGGAGAGGUGAAAUUCGGCGAUAUCAAAAAGACCAACAUAGGCGAAAGCAACUGUCUAGAUUAGCACUGACGCUGAGGCACGAAAGCAUGGGGAGCAAACAGG
This 254-nucleotide ribosomal RNA is filed under the name uncultured prokaryote. Its description in RNAcentral is "partial 16S ribosomal RNA". It matches the Rfam family "Bacterial small subunit ribosomal RNA", at positions 524 to 776 of the family's 1533-position model. The record is from RNAcentral.